AACGAGCGAGACUCCGACUGCUAAAUACCAUCGGGAUUCUUUCGUCCCGUGUGGUUCUUAGCUGGAUUCGCGGUUUCAAACCGCAAGAAAUGGAGCAAUAACAGGUCUGUGAUGCCCUUAGAUGUUCGGGGCGGCACGCGUGCUACAAUGAUGCUAACAGCAUGCUUGUGCUCGACCGACAGGUCUUGCCAAACAUAUGAGAUAUUAUUAUGGCUGGAAUUGAGUGUUGAAACUUUCUCUCAUGAACGAGGAAUUCCAAGUAAAUGCAAGUCAUCAACUUGCAUUGAUUACGUCCCU
This 297-nucleotide ribosomal RNA is filed under the name Aphelenchoides sp. A2-1_R4_NF1. RNAcentral describes it as "partial small subunit ribosomal RNA". It matches the Rfam family "Eukaryotic small subunit ribosomal RNA", at positions 1330 to 1654 of the family's 1831-position model. The record is from RNAcentral. Lineage: Eukaryota; Metazoa; Nematoda; Chromadorea; Rhabditida; Aphelenchoididae.